RNAcentral lists this long non-coding RNA (3712 nucleotides) under Ananas comosus (pineapple). RNAcentral describes it as "long non-coding RNA (ACOM_LNC028068)". Lineage: Eukaryota; Viridiplantae; Streptophyta; Magnoliopsida; Poales; Bromeliaceae. The record is from RNAcentral.
GGGGCACUGAAUUCUUGCUAGAUUGGAGGCUGAGGAGACGUGUGUUUGUGAUCGAUUCAGCACUAUAGUUGGGUUAGCACUUGAGGUGGGUUUAAUUAAUCAAAUUUGAUGGAAUUCCCACUGUGUACUAAAUUCCUGCAUACAUGCUAUCUACUUAUUCAAAUACAUGCUUAUAAUCAAUCUACUCAACCAUAUUGGCAUAGCUUCAUGUUAAAUAUUUUGUAUAUCGGAAACUUUUAGUGAUGAUAACCUUUUUUUCGAUGAUGUCAGUUCAAAUCGACUCAAAUUUAUGCAUUGAUUUGUCGGAGUUGUGUUUUUUGACUAGCUUUUGUAUCCAUUUAUUUGGGGAAGGGGGACGGGGGGUGUCUUGCAAAUACUUAGUUAUUUGACAUCAUGCUUUUGAGGUUUUGUCUAGAAAAAACUCUUGCCUAUUGCCUUUCCUUCGGCAUGAUUUGCCAAAAAAAAGAAAUUCCUAGAAUCCGCAAGUACCUUUUUUGUUCCUGUAUGUUUUCCAAAAAAGAUAACAAUCAUGUUUCCUACAUUUUCUUGCUGGCUGUAGGUUCUUUGUUGCUCUUUGUAGAUGUGUUCUGUGUGGUUUAUAAUAAUGCUUUGUCAUUUCUAGGGUACUUUGGCUUCGCCUAUUUUUGUGCAUGCUAUGAUGACUGCCUCUUGCUUUGUCAUUUCUUGGGUACUUUGCCUGCGCCUCUUUUUGUGCAUGCUAUGAUGACUACCUCUUGAAUGCCAUCAGAACCACUGCUUUGCUACAUUGUUAUUUUACUAAUAUUACUUAGUUUUGUUUAUUCCUUACUCUUUCUAAUUUUCUUGCUUUUUUUUAAAGCUAUGAUGAUAAGUAGAGGGAAGUGUGGAAAAAUAUUGUCUUCGAACGAGUGAAAGUUUCAACGGCCUACUCAUAGGCAACCUUUUCCUACUGUUGUUAUUCUUAGUGCUUGCGCACAUUUCCCUCCGAUGGUAAUCUACUGCUCAACAACCAUUUCCUACUGCUCUUAUCCUUUGUAGUUGCGCACUUUUUCUUUCUACAGUGACCUGUUGUUCCUACUACUGCCCUAUGCUUAUGAGCAGUGUUGCCGACCCUACUUAACUGAGCCUUAUGUUUUUGUGCAUUUUUUUAAGAUUGUUUGGAUUGUUUUCUUUUCUCCUCCAACGCAACCCUUCCCCCCCCCCCCCUUUCAUUUUUUCAUGAAUCAUUAUAUUAUAAUUUAUACCGCUGUUUGGUAUGAUUCUUGCUUAUUUAAAAUUUUCCUUUAACGAAGAAGCCGAUGGACGGAUAAGUUGUGGGCAACUAGCUUUACAAAUAUUUGUUUGUAGUUUACUUGGUUGUGCUUACGUUUACUAUUCCUUUCUUUGUUUCAGAUUAAGUGUGGUACCUUCUGAUGGUCUCCACUGCUUCGAUACAUUGUUAUUUUACUAAUAUUACUUGGUUUCAUUUAUUCCUUGUUGUUUCUUUCUAAUUUUCUUGCUCUUCUUCAAGGCUAUGAUGAUAAAUAGAGGAAAGUGUCGAAAAUAUUGUCUUCGAAUGAGUGGAAGUUUGGAUGGCCUACUCAUAGGCAACUGCUUCCUACCAUUGUUAUUCUUAUGAUUGCACACAUUUCCCUCCAAUGGUAAUCUACUGCUCAGCAACCAUUUCCUACCGUUCUUAUCCUUUGUCAUUGUGCAACUUUUCUUUCUACAAUAAUCUGUUUGUUCUGUUUUCUAUUUGUUCUUUGUUGAAUUCAAAUUGAAGCCGAAUUUCGUACAAAUUAGAGCCACUUUUCGCGUGCUUUUGCCGCAAACUUCUGGGUCAUAUUAGCACGUUUCUGGAUGCCGCCGACAGCAGCAAGGGCUGCUGCCAGCAGCAGCAAAGGCCGCUGCAAUGACAGCCUGCAGUACCAGGGACUACUGCCGCUGCAGCAAGCGGCAGCAGGGGUUGCUGCUGCUGCUGCUAUUGCGGCCAGCAACAGCAGAGUCUGCUGCUAUGGCUGUUGCCUCAGAUAGUGACAGCAGCAGGCGCUGCAGCAGAUGCAAUAGUUGACGCAGUAGCAGGAGUGGGCACAUUGUUCAACGAGUGGUUCCGCUGAAGUCACAGCAGUAGUGGCUCAAAUUUGGGCUCCAAUUGCGUCCAAAUUCACCUCAUUUUGAAAUGGAAGUUGAUCCAAGAAUGAGGAUGACAAUGAGCUUCAAGUUGCACUUUGUUCCAUUUGAAAUUAAGAUGAAUUGGUAGACAAGUGAGUUAAUUAUUGAAGAGAGUGGGAAAUUCAGAUUUUGAUGGAUAUUUUCUAACGAUGAAUUGGUAGGCAAGUGAGUUAAUUAUUGAAGAGAGUGUGAAAUUCAUAUUUUGAUGGAUAUUUUCUAAUGUCUUCAUCUAUUUUUUCCCUAAUUGAGUUGUAGGCAUAAAAUUGAUUUCAUUUUGGUGCCCAACUGAGGAAGAGAAGCCUGUGGGCUGUUUGCAGCUGCAUUGGUUCUAUUUUUUUGUAUCAAAAUCUUUCGAAUGCAUAUAUUAUCGCUGCUGAUUUAUAAAUUUGUUUUCUUUUUCCUGGCACUUUUUUUUUUUUGUGUGAGUACCUCAAAAAGGUGCAGGCUUAUCUAUGCUUUUAUGCAAUUUUCGUCUUCAGGUUUCUGCUCUUUUCUUAUUUUGUUAUGUCUUUAUGAGAUAAAGUAAGACCCAUUUUUAAAUCCAACUUUCUACCUAAUCUUACAUGUCGUGCUAGGGUUGGUAACCGAUGUAUUAUAAAAAGACCUUGAAUUUUUUUCCUGCAGUGUUAAGUUUCAUUCUAUUUCCUGCACCAGUUUCUUUUUUGCAUAUCUUAUUGAGUUUUGUAUGUAUUUUGUAUGAAUUCUUGAUUUGUUUCCCUCAUUUUUUUUUCCUCUCUUAAUCUUUUUCCUGGGGUUUUGAUUAAUUUAGUCCAGUUGGGGAUUUGUUUGUCAUUAAAUGGAAUAACUUUGUAUGGCCUCCACUACUUCUAUACAUCGUUAUUUUACUAAUAUUACUUUGUUUCCUUCAUUCCUUGGUGUUUCUUUCUAUUUGCUGGCUCAUUUUUGAGGUGGUGAUGAUGAGUUGAGGCAAAUGUGGGGAUUGCUUUUUCUGAACAAGUUCCUUAAUUUCUUGGUUAUUUUUUCUAUUUGAUGGUCCUUUUUUGAGGCGCCGAUGAUAACUUGAGGAAAAUGUGGGAAUUUUUUUGCUUCGAACAAGUUGAAGUUUGGAUGGCCAGGUCAUAGGCAACCACUUCCAACUGUUCUUAGCUUUGGUGGUUGCGCGUUUCUUAUCCUUCAUGGUUGCCCACAUUUCCUCCUGCGAUAAUCUAUCAGUGCUUCUAUCCUGUGCUUAUAAACAAUGUUGUCGAACCAACUUGACUGAGCCUUACAUUUUCCUUUUCUUUUUUUUUUUUUACUUAUUAAAUUUUUUUUUCCCUGUUUUCCCCUUACCUUUUUUUCUAGGUCAUUAUAUUAGAAUUUAUAUCGUUGUUGGGAUUGGUUCUUGCUUAUUGAUUUUUAAAAUAAAAUUUAUGUGAUUUAGAAUAACGAAAUAUAUUUGUAAUUAAUAGUAAUUUUGUUAAUGGAUUUCCGUGGCAAUGAUGAUAGAUGAAAGAAAUUUGGCUUAAGCUGUCCUCUUGGCCCGUAGGAGUGCACACUCCUAAUUAAAUACACCUUUCGUCUUAGCCUUGAUUUAUUUUCUCCCGCAAUUUAUGAUUUGCUUAUAUUUUUUAAAGCAAAAAAA